CGAACGCUGGCGGCGUGCUUAACACAUGCAAGUCGAACGGUGAAGGGAUCAGCUUGCUGGUUCUGGAUGAGUGGCGAACGGGUGAGUAACACGUGAGUAACCUGCCCCCUUCUUCUGGAUAACCGCAUGAAAGUGUGGCUAAUACGGGAUAUUCUGCGCCUGCUGCAUGGUGGGUGUGGGAAAGAUAUUGUUUCGGUGGGGGAUGGGCUCGCGGCCUAUCAGCUUGUUGGUGGGGUGAUGGCCUACCAAGGCGGUGACGGGUAGCCGGCCUGAGAGGGUGGACGGUCACACUGGGACUGAGACACGGCCCAGACUCCUACGGGAGGCAGCAGUGGGGAAUAUUGCACAAUGGGCGCAAGCCUGAUGCAGCGACGCCGCGUGAGGGAUGGAGGCCUUCGGGUUGUGAACCUCUUUCGCCAGUGAAGCAGGCCUGUCCCGUGUGGGUGGGUUGACGGUAGCUGGAUAAGAAGCGCCGGCUAACUACGUG
Molecule: ribosomal RNA, 487 nt
Filed under: uncultured bacterium
Lineage: Bacteria
Description: partial 16S ribosomal RNA
Rfam family: Bacterial small subunit ribosomal RNA
Source: RNAcentral